Molecule: ribosomal RNA, 561 nt
Filed under: Rhabdosargus globiceps (white stumpnose)
Lineage: Eukaryota; Metazoa; Chordata; Actinopteri; Spariformes; Sparidae
Description: partial 16S ribosomal RNA
Rfam family: Bacterial large subunit ribosomal RNA
Source: RNAcentral
UAGAGGUCCCGCCUGCCCUGUGACUAUAUGUUUAACGGCCGCGGUAUUUUGACCGUGCGAAGGUAGCGCAAUCACUUGUCUUUUAAAUGAAGACCUGUAUGAAUGGCAUCACGAGGGCUUAGCUGUCUCCCUCUCCCAGUCAAUGAAAUUGAUCUCCCCGUGCAGAAGCGGGGAUAAGAACAUAAGACGAGAAGACCCUAUGGAGCUUAAGACACCAGGCCAGCUCACGUUAAACACCCCCCUACAAGGGGGAUAAACCGAGUGAACCCUGUUCUAGUGUCUUUGGUUGGGGCGACCGCGGGGAAAAAUUUAACCCCCAUGUGGAACAGGAACACUAUGUUCCUUAAUCCGAGAGCUUCCGCUCUAAUAAACAGAACUUCUGACCAACAAGAUCCGGCAACGCCGAUCAACGGACCGAGUUACCCUAGGGAUAACAGCGCAAUCCUCUUAAAGAGCCCUUAUCGACAAGGGGGUUUACGACCUCGAUGUUGGAUCAGGACAUCCUAAUGGUGCAGCCGCUAUUAAGGGUUCGUUUGUUCAACGAUUAAAGUCCUACGUGAU